Molecule: ribosomal RNA, 939 nt
Filed under: uncultured Caulobacter sp.
Lineage: Bacteria; Pseudomonadati; Pseudomonadota; Alphaproteobacteria; Caulobacterales; Caulobacteraceae
Description: bacterial SSU rRNA
Rfam family: Bacterial small subunit ribosomal RNA
Source: RNAcentral
AGCGAACGCUGGCGGCAGGCCUAACACAUGCAAGUCGAACGAUCCUUCGGGAUAGUGGCGGACGGGUGAGUAACACGUGGGAACGUGCCCUUUGGUUCGGAACAACUCAGGGAAACUUGAGCUAAUACCGAAUGUGCCCUUCGGGGGAAAGAUUUAUCGCCAUUGGAGCGGCCCGCGUCUGAUUAGGUAGUUGGUGAGGUAAAGGCUCACCAAGCCUACGAUCAGUAGCUGGUCUGAGAGGAUGAUCAGCCACAUUGGGACUGAGACACGGCCCAAACUCCUACGGGAGGCAGCAGUGGGGAAUCUUGCGCAAUGGGCGAAAGCCUGACGCAGCCAUGCCGCGUGAAUGAUGAAGGUCUUAGGAUUGUAAAAUUCUUUCACCGGGGACGAUAAUGACGGUACCCGGAGAAGAAGCCCCGGCUAACUUCGUGCCAGCAGCCGCGGUAAUACGAAGGGGGCUAGCGUUGCUCGGAAUUACUGGGCGUAAAGGGCGCGUAGGCGGACAGUUUAGUCAGAGGUGAAAGCCCAGGGCUCAACCUUGGAAUUGCCUUUGAUACUGGCUGUCUUGAGUACGGAAGAGGUGUGUGGAACUCCGAGUGUAGAGGUGAAAUUCGUAGAUAUUCGGAAGAACACCAGUGGCGAAGGCGACACACUGGUCCGUUACUGACGCUGAGGCGCGAAAGCGUGGGGAGCAAACAGGAUUAGAUACCCUGGUAGUCCACGCCGUAAACGAUGAGUGCUAGUUGUCGGCAUGCAUGCAUGUCGGUGACGCAGCUAACGCAUUAAGCACUCCGCCUGGGGAGUACGGUCGCAAGAUUAAAACUCAAAGGAAUUGACGGGGCCCGCACAAGCGGUGGAGCAUGUGGUUUAAUUCGAAGCAACGCGCAGAACCUUACCACCUUUUGACAUGCCUGGACCGCUGCAGAGAUGCAGUUUUCC